This 274-nucleotide ribosomal RNA is filed under the name uncultured bacterium. RNAcentral describes it as "partial 16S ribosomal RNA". It matches the Rfam family "Bacterial small subunit ribosomal RNA", at positions 523 to 796 of the family's 1533-position model. The record is from RNAcentral.
CUACGGAGGAUGCAAGCGUUAUCCGGAUUUAUUGGGUUUAAAGGGUGCGCAGGCGGAAAAUUAAGUCAGUGGUGAAAUCCUACAGCUUAACUGUAGAACUGCCAUUGAUACUGAUUUUCUUGAGUGCAGUUGAGGUAGGCGGAAUGUGUAAUGUAGCGGUGAAAUGCUUAGAUAUUACACAGAACACCGAUUGCGUAGGCAGCUUACUAAACUGUUACUGACGCUCAGGCACGAAAGCGUGGGGAGCGAACAGGAUUAGAAACCCUAGUAGUCC